GAAGAUAGUAUAUAUGGUUAUAUUAUACGAUUGCAAAUCGUACUAUUAGGGUUCAAUUCCCUCUAUCUUCU
This is a non-coding RNA of [Candida] anglica, 71 nucleotides long. The record is from the annotation of a GenBank genome assembly. Lineage: Eukaryota; Fungi; Ascomycota; Pichiomycetes; Serinales; Debaryomycetaceae.